GACGAACGCUGGCGGCGUGCCUAAUACAUGCAAGUCGAACGCACUCUCGUUUAGAUUGAAGGAGCUUGCUCCUGAUUGAUAAACAUUUGAGUGAGUGGCGGACGGGUGAGUAACACGUGGGUAACCUGCCCUAAAGUGGGGGAUAACAUUUGGAAACAGAUGCUAAUACCGCAUAAAACCUAACACCGCAUGGUGUAGGGUUGAAAGAUGGUUUCGGCUAUCACUUUAGGAUUGGACCCCGCGGUGCAUUAGUUAGUUGGUGAGGUAAAGGCUCACCAAGACCGUGAUGCAUAGCCGACCUGAGAGGGUAA
RNAcentral lists this ribosomal RNA (311 nucleotides) under uncultured bacterium. Its description in RNAcentral is "bacterial SSU rRNA". It matches the Rfam family "Bacterial small subunit ribosomal RNA", at positions 28 to 303 of the family's 1533-position model. The record is from RNAcentral.